This 490-nucleotide ribosomal RNA is filed under the name uncultured bacterium. Its description in RNAcentral is "partial 16S ribosomal RNA". It matches the Rfam family "Bacterial small subunit ribosomal RNA", at positions 30 to 507 of the family's 1533-position model. The record is from RNAcentral.
AUUGAACGCUGGCGGCAGGCCUAACACAUGCAAGUCGAACGGUAACAGGAAGAAGCUUGCUUCUUUGCUGACGAGUGGCGGACGGGUGAGUAAUGUCUGGGAUACUGCCUGAUGGAGGGGGAUAACUACUGGAAACGGUAGCUAAUACCGCAUAACGUCGCAAGACCAAAGAGGGGGACCUUCGGGCCUCUUGCCAUCGGAUGUGCCCAGAUGGGAUUAGCUAGUAGGUGGGGUAACGGCUCACCUAGGCGACGAUCCGUAGCUGGUCUGAGAGGAUGACCAGCCACACUGGAACUGUGACACGGUCCAGACGCCUACGGGAGGCAGCAGUGGGGAAUAUUGCACAAUGGGCGCAAACCUGAUGCAGCCAUGCCGCGUGUAUGAAGAAGGCCUUCGGGUUGUAAAGUACUUUCAGCGGGGAGGAAGGGAGUAAAGUUAAUACCUAUACUAAUUGACGUUACCAGCAGAAGAAGCACCGGCUAACUCCGUG